Molecule: ribosomal RNA, 438 nt
Filed under: Rhysida sp. CES08926
Lineage: Eukaryota; Metazoa; Arthropoda; Chilopoda; Scolopendromorpha; Scolopendridae
Description: partial 16S ribosomal RNA
Rfam family: Bacterial large subunit ribosomal RNA
Source: RNAcentral
UGGCCGCGGUAUUUGACCGUGCGAGGUAGCAUAAUCAUUAGUCUGUUAAUGUAGUCUGGAAUGAAGGGUUUGACGGGGAGUAGCUUUCUUAUUUUUAUUCUUGAAUUUGAAUUAUUAGUAAAAAUGCUAAUAUAUUUUAGGGGGACGAGAAGACCCUAUAGAGCUUUAUAUUUUAAUGCUUUUUAGUAGUGAAGUUUAGCAUAUUAUAUUUUGUUGGGGCGACAACAGGUAUGAAACAUCUGUGUUAUUUGUCUUUUUAGUAGGUUUUAUGAUCCAUUAAUAAUGAUAAAAGACUAAGUUACCUUAGGGAUAACAGCGUAAUUUUGUUUUAGAGUUCAUAUCGAUAACAAAGGUUGCGACCUCGAUGUUGGAUUAGAAUUCCUUUUUUAUGGCGCAGGAGUUUUUAAAGGUAGUCUGUUCGACUAUUUAAUUUCUACA